This 353-nucleotide ribosomal RNA is filed under the name uncultured Anaerolineaceae bacterium. RNAcentral describes it as "bacterial SSU rRNA". It matches the Rfam family "Bacterial small subunit ribosomal RNA", at positions 1014 to 1381 of the family's 1533-position model. Lineage: Bacteria; Bacillati; Chloroflexota; Anaerolineae; Anaerolineales; Anaerolineaceae. The record is from RNAcentral.
CCCUUCGGGGAGCUUGUACAGGUGCUGCAUGGCUGUCGUCAGCUCGUGUCGUGAGAUGUUCGGUUAAGUCCGCUAACGAGCGCAACCCCUCGCUGUGUGUUACAAGUGUCACACGGAACUGCCGGUCAUAAACCGGAGGAAGGUGGGGAUGACGUCAAGUCAGCAUGGCCUUUAUAUCCUGGGCUACACACACGCUACAAUGGGAAGGGACAAUAGGUUGCGAAGCCGCGAGGCGGAGCCAAUCCAGCAAAACUUCCCUCAGUUCAGAUUGCAGGCUGCAACUCGCCUGCAUGAAGUUGGAGUUGCUAGUAAACGCAGGUCAGCCAUACUGCGUUGAAUACGUUCCCGGGCUU